GACGAACGCUGGCGGCGUGCUUAACACAUGCAAGUCGAACGGAAAGGCCCUGCUUUUGUGGGGUGCUCGAGUGGCGAACGGGUGAGUAACACGUGAGUAACCUGCCCUUGACUUUGGGAUAACUUCAGGAAACUGGGGCUAAUACCGGAUAGGAGCUCCUGCUGCAUGGUGGGGGUUGGAAAGUUUCGGCGGGUGGGGAUGGACUCGCGGCUUAUCAGCUUGUUGGUGGGGUAGUGGCCUACCAAGGCUUUGACGGGUAGCCGGCCUGAGAGGGUGACCGGCCACACGGGGACGGAGACACGGCCCAGACUCCUACGGGGGGCAGCAGUGGGGAAUUUUGGACAAUGGGCGCAAGCCUGAUCCAGCCAUUCCGCGUGCAGUACGAAGGCCUUGGGGUUGUAAACUGCUUUUGUAUGGAACGAAAAGGCUCUGGCUAAGACCUGGGGCUCAUGACGGUACCGUAAGAAUAAGCACCGGCUAACUACGUG
This 488-nucleotide ribosomal RNA is filed under the name uncultured bacterium. Its description in RNAcentral is "partial 16S ribosomal RNA". It matches the Rfam family "Bacterial small subunit ribosomal RNA", at positions 28 to 507 of the family's 1533-position model. The record is from RNAcentral.